RNAcentral lists this ribosomal RNA (254 nucleotides) under uncultured prokaryote. RNAcentral's name for it is "partial 16S ribosomal RNA". It matches the Rfam family "Bacterial small subunit ribosomal RNA", at positions 522 to 775 of the family's 1533-position model. The record is from RNAcentral.
AAUACGUAGGGGGCCAGCGUUGUCCGGAAUCAUUGGGCGUAAAGAGCGCGUAGGCGGCCAGAUAAGUCCGGUGUGAAAGUCAAAGGCUCAACCUUUGAAUGCCGCUGGAAACUGUCUGGCUCGAGUCCGGGAGGGGCGAGUGGAAUUCCUGGUGUAGCGGUGAAAUGCGCAGAUAUCAGGAGGAACACCAAUGGCGAAGGCAGCUCGCUGGAACGGAACUGACGCUGAGGCGCGAAAGCGUGGGGAGCGAACAG